This 427-nucleotide ribosomal RNA is filed under the name uncultured bacterium. RNAcentral's name for it is "bacterial SSU rRNA". It matches the Rfam family "Bacterial small subunit ribosomal RNA", at positions 355 to 774 of the family's 1533-position model. The record is from RNAcentral.
UGGGGAAUUUUGGACAAUGGGGGCAACCCUGAUCCAGCCAUUCCGCGUGAGUGAAGAAGGCCUUCGGGUUGUAAAGCUCUUUCAGCUGGAACGAAACGGUGCGCUCUAACAUAGCGUGCUAAUGACGGUACCAGCAGAAGAAGCACCGGCUAACUACGUGCCAGCAGCCGCGGUAAUACGUAGGGUGCGAGCGUUGUUCGGAGUUACUGGGCGUAAAGAGUGCGUAGGCGGUUUUCUAAGUUCGGUGUGAAAUCUCCCGGCUUAACUGGGAGGGUGCGCCGAAGACUGGGAAGCUGGAGUGUGGGAAAGGCAGGCGGAAUUCCUGGUGUAGCGGUGAAAUGCGUAGAUAUCAGGAGGAACACCGGCGGUGUAGACGGCUUGCUAGACCAUAACUGACGCUGAGGCACGAAAGCGUGGGUAGCAAACA